RNAcentral lists this ribosomal RNA (450 nucleotides) under uncultured bacterium. RNAcentral's name for it is "bacterial SSU rRNA". It matches the Rfam family "Bacterial small subunit ribosomal RNA", at positions 354 to 796 of the family's 1533-position model. The record is from RNAcentral.
GUGGGGAAUUUUGGACAAUGGGGGCAACCCUGAUCCAGCCAUGCCGCGUGCGGGAAGAAGGCCUUCGGGUUGUAAACCGCUUUUAGUCGGGAAGAAAAGGCAGCUCUUAAUACGGGCUGUUCUUGACGGUACCGGCGGAAUAAGCACCGGCUAACUACGUGCCAGCAGCCGCGGUAAUACGUAGGGUGCGAGCGUUAAUCGGAAUUACUGGGCGUAAAGCGUGCGCAGGCGGUUCGUUAAGUUCGUUGUGAAAGCCCCGGGCUCAACCUGGGAACUGCAAUGGAAACUGGCGGGCUUGAGUAUGGCAGAGGGGGGUGGAAUUCCGCGUGUAGCAGUGAAAUGCGUAGAGAUGCGGAGGAACACCGAUGGCGAAGGCAGCCCCCUGGGCCAAUACUGACGCUCAGGCACGAAAGCGUGGGGAGCAAACAGGAUUAGAAACCCGGGUAGUCC